AAUGGGUUUGGCGUGCCGCGUACAUACGUACUCUGCCAAGGAAUUCGUUACCGGGAUUUUCGCCGACGUGUCUUCUAUGAAUUGUCUUCUUUGAAAUGCAAAAAUCCAAGGAAUCUUUUUUCUACCGAGGAGAAAUUGGUAGAUUUUUGACAGGGAAAAGGAACGAGAGCAAACGGGAGAGCCGAAAGAGAAGCAACCGAGGGAGAAACAGAGAAGAAAAAUGAAGUUUGAGCCUCGUUGAAGUGUCAUCCGUGUUAUCGUGCGAGGAAGAUCACGUUUAUCUGAACGAGUCAAAGGCGAACGUCGGAUUACUUGAUUUUUAUAUUACAAACCAUCACUUGCUACAUCCGACAAACACAGGCGCACAAAUUUCUGCGCUAUACUCAACGGACCGAUCUUUUCCAUCUUUUCACUGUUUUCUUCUCAUUACCAGACAAAAGGUUCUCAAAGAGUUUCGAAAAUAUCGGUAACGAUUUCUCGUUAUUCAAGCGUCCAAUGUAAAAACACAUUCGUAAUUCUUUGAAUUUAACUUUGUUUCUAGCAUCCAUUGCUUUUUUUUCUUUACUGUUUUAUUUGACAUUUUUCAUAUCCUUGAAAAGUAUGUAAGACACGAAUUAACGUGUCAAAGUAACGCUGUACCGCUGUAAAGGGCACGAUUAAAGGAUUCUAUCAAAAUGUAAGAGAAAUCUAAAAACUUCAAAAGAAUCCUUAGACGCAACAUCGUUAGAGAACAAGAAGAUACAACGGUUAAGAUGAAACGGGAAACGGAAACCGCGCGACGGAGCAGCGACGAAGAUAACGAAGCCGUUCGAGCCAGGUACCACGUAACAGCCACUUUCAAGCAAAUGCAUUUAAGGGAAUAAAUGGAUGGUCAGCGUGAUGAGGCGCGUUAAGUGCCGCUCGCCAGGCGUAGCACACGUGUCAAAAGCAAACUACGAGUACGGCUCGUAUAUCGAAAAAAUUACGGACCCAAAGGAAUAUCAUGGGGUAUCCUUGGCAAGUCGAAAUAUCGAAAGAUCGCAUAUUUUUCUUUUUUUCUUUUAAUUUGUAUUUUUAAAAUAGAAUGGACGAAACUUUCUGCAGGCAGAAGAACUGGCAAAAAAGAAAAGAAACAAAAAACAAGAGUAGAUUCUCUUUAUUAAUAUUGAAUAUGCUUUUGAAUUUGAAAUUUCCAAUAACAACGUAGAGAAAUUUCUUGGAGGAUUUGUCAGUAGAGAUCUUUUCUUUCCUUUUUUCAGAAAUUCGUUUGCACUUUUGAGAGAAAACGGGCAAAUUCUCAAUAAAAUUCUGACUAAUUCAAAA
Molecule: long non-coding RNA, 1302 nt
Organism: Bombus impatiens (common eastern bumble bee)
Lineage: Eukaryota; Metazoa; Arthropoda; Insecta; Hymenoptera; Apidae
Exons: 4
Source: RefSeq, a predicted model, not a curated record